CAAGCGUUAUCCGGAAUUAUUGGGCGUAAAGCGUUUGUAGGCGGGCGAGUGUGUUUAAUGUUAAAUCUUAAAGCUCAACUUUGAAAUUGCGUUAAAAACUGCUUGUCUUGAGUAUGGUAGGGGUAAAGGGAAUUCCCAGUGUAGCGGUGAAAUGCGUAGAUAUUGGGAAGAACACUAAACAGCGAAGGCACUUUACUAGGCUAAUACUGACGCUGAGAAACGAAAGGUAAGGUAGCGAAACGGAUUAGAUACCCGUGUAGUCUUACCCGUAAACUAUGGACACUAAACGGUAAAUUUUUAAUUUACUGUUAAAGCUAACGCGUUAAGUGUCCCGCCUGGGGAGUAUGCUUGCAAAAGUGAAACUCAAAGGAAUUGACGGGGGCCCGCACAAGCGGUGGAGCAUGUGGUUUAAUUCGACGGUACACGAAGAACCUUACCAGGAUUUGACAUGCUAGAUAGUUGCUUGAAAGAGUAACGUGCCGUAAGGAAUCUAGACACAGGUGGUGCAUGGCUGUCGUCAGUUCGUGUUGUGAAAUGUUGGGUUAAGUCCCGCAACGAACGCAACCCUUGUCUUCAGUUAUUUUCUAAAGAGACUGCCUGUAAUAAACAGGAGGAAGGUAAGGAUGAGGUCAAGUCAUCAUACCCCUUAUGUCCUGGGCUACACACGUGCUACAAUGGGAAAGACAAUGAGCUGCAAAUCUGUAAAUUUAAGCAAAUCUCUUAAACUUUCUCGUAGUUCGGAUUGUGGGCUGCAACUCGCCCACAUGAAGUUGGAAUCGCUAGUAAUCGCCAGUCAGCUAUAUGGCGGUGAAUCCGUUCCCGGGCCU
RNAcentral lists this ribosomal RNA (827 nucleotides) under uncultured bacterium. RNAcentral's name for it is "bacterial SSU rRNA". It matches the Rfam family "Bacterial small subunit ribosomal RNA", at positions 535 to 1381 of the family's 1533-position model. The record is from RNAcentral.